CAACUUUAAGUGGUGGAUCACUCGGCUCGG
Molecule: ribosomal RNA, 30 nt
Filed under: Saccostrea sp. non-mordax lineage F
Lineage: Eukaryota; Metazoa; Mollusca; Bivalvia; Ostreida; Ostreidae
Description: partial 5.8S ribosomal RNA
Source: RNAcentral